AUUGAACGCUGGCGGAAUGCUUUACACAUGCAAGUCGAACGGUAGAGGGGGCAACCCCUCGAGAGUGGCGAACGGGUGAGUAAUAUAUCGGAACGUGCCCAGUCGUGGGGGAUAACGUAGCGAAAGCUACGCUAAUACCGCAUACGAUCUACGGAUGAAAGCGGGGGAUCGCAAGACCUCGCGCGAUUGGAGCGGCCGAUAUCAGAUUAGGUUGUUGGUGAGGUAAAAGCUCACCAAGCCUGCGAUCUGUAGCUGGUCUGAGAGGACGACCAGCCACACUGGAACUGAGACACGGUCCAGACUCCUACGGGAGGCAGCAGUGGGGAAUUUUGGACAAUGGACGCAAGUCUGAUCCAGCAAUGCCGCGUGCAGGACGAAGGCCUUCGAGUUGUAAACUGCUUUUGUACGGAACGAAACGGUGAGCUCUAAUACAGUUUGCUAAUGACGGUACCGUAAGAAUAAGCACCGGCUAACUACGUGCCAGCCGCCGCAGUAA
RNAcentral lists this ribosomal RNA (496 nucleotides) under uncultured bacterium. RNAcentral describes it as "partial 16S ribosomal RNA". It matches the Rfam family "Bacterial small subunit ribosomal RNA", at positions 30 to 523 of the family's 1533-position model. The record is from RNAcentral.